UGGGUUGGUUGGAUCCCUGCUCGUGCAGCGACAGCCGCUCUUUCAUUCCUUUUCAUUCUUGCUCCAAGAGCAGUAAGCCUUGGACCAACUCGGUUACCUGUGUUGCAUACCUACGUUGAUGGAAUUCGCUCGUCCAAUAGCCCCUAAUUCACCUUGUGCUGCUCGCGCGGUGCGGGAUGAACCAUGAAGUGUCCUUUGCUGUCCGUUAUUGCCUCGCGUUCGCGCGUGCCAUGAAACGGCCAGUGCUGCGGCACUCGAAUUCUCGGAUACAGAACCUUGAGCGGGCAAAGGGUCUUUGGCCUUGAUUUGCCCAAACUAAGCGUUCUCGCUUCUUACGAACGACUGUCGUGCCCGUUUUGACCUGAGGAUACUUUCGGUCCGACCGGCUCAUGCGGUGCCGACGUCGAAG
Molecule: unclassified non-coding RNA, 409 nt
Filed under: Polyscias mackeei
Lineage: Eukaryota; Viridiplantae; Streptophyta; Magnoliopsida; Apiales; Araliaceae
Description: partial contains external transcribed spacer and 18S ribosomal RNA
Source: RNAcentral